Molecule: long non-coding RNA, 16476 nt
Organism: Pseudopipra pipra
Lineage: Eukaryota; Metazoa; Chordata; Aves; Passeriformes; Pipridae
Exons: 4
Source: RefSeq, a predicted model, not a curated record
UCCGCCGGGCCCCCCGCGCGCGCGCGCGCACGCCGGAAGCCGUCAGCGCGCGCCGCCCGCCCCGCCCCGCCCCGCCCCACCCACCGCCUGCCCGGCCCGGCCCGGCCCGUUGCCAUGGCGGCGGGUCCGCGGCGCCGAAGCGGCCCCCAGACCCAGUCCCCAGGUCGCACCAAGUCGCUUCGUAUCAGGAACAGGGUGGCCGGCAGGACCGGAGAAGCGAUUCUUCCCCCUGCACUCGGCACUGGUUAGGCCGCACCUCGGGCGCUGUGUCCAGUUCUGGGCCGCUCAGUUUAGGAAGGAUAUCGAGGUGCUGGAGCGUGUCCAAGGAAGGGCAAAGAGGCUGGUGAAGGGACACAAGUCAUGUGAGGAGCGGCUGAGGGAGCUGGGGUUGUUCAGCCUGGAAAAGAGGAGGCUCAGGGGAGACCUCAUCACUCUCUACAAUUCCCUGACAGGAGGUUGUAGCCAGAAUUACACAAUCAGUUAGGUUGGAAAAGACCUCCGAGAUCAUCGAGUCCAACCUGUGACCAAACCCCACCUUGUCAAGUAGACCAUGGCACUAACUAACUUUCUUCCAUGCCAUGAGCUAUGUCAGUCCACUACCAACAGCAGCCUGUUACAGAAACAAUUCACAUCAAGAUAUGGAGAAUGAGGAUACAACAGGGCAUCACCUAGUAGGACAAAGAGGCUAUGGAAACAAACAUGGACUAAUCCAGUGGCAUGCAGAUGUGAUGGAAGGACAUCCUGGUCACUCUGCAGCAGCUUUACCUGAGUAUGGGUUUCUUUCUAAUAUAGAUGUGAUCCGCGUUUUAAUCUACUUUUCAGGGAAUGAUGUUUUGAUAUUUGUACAACCAAAGGGUUUACGUUGCUGGUUGAAGCCAGAUGUGUAAAGCAAUUGCCUUAAAAGCCUGCUCUUUGUCCAGAAAAGUUAAUUAAUCUGUAUAUCUGAAAUCACUUGGCUUGUUGAACCCAACAUAGAGGGCUCACUCAGGGAAACUACACCCUGUUUACUGCUCUGCCGUUGGACUUGCUGGGUAAUUCUGGACAAAGCACUUAGCCCAUCUAUAUCUUAGUUCCAAUAAGCUGGAUAUAGUACCCUGCCAUACCAUACUAAUGCUCAUGAAUUAAGCAUCUGCAGUCUCUGAAUGUGAAAUGUUUCAUUUGGGGUUGAAAUCACCUUGAUUUGUCAGAUGGAAUGAUUCAGCUAUGCCUCCUUAUGUACAGUGAUGGCAAAAUUUACUCUGCUGUGAGGCAAACUACAUUUUCGUUUGGCAGACCUGAAGUAAAAAAGAACAAACUGCCUCCACUAACUUUUCUGAGGUUAGAUAUUCACUAGAUCCUUAUAUAUGUUUAAGAUUUUAAUUUUUAUAACAUGUAACUUUUUAAUAACGUUUUGUAGCUUUUAUCACAUGAGCCUUUUCCUACCAGGGAUUUACACUGUUAGCUAAAGAAAACGCUGUAUGACAAAAGGUUAUUUUGAGAACUGCCAGCAGAAAUUGUGGUCUAAUUAAAGUCACUCAAGAAAUAGUGAUAUUGAGGUCUGUUAAGUAUAAAUAUGGUUAAUUUGCUGUUCAUAACACAGCAUAUAAGAUUACGUAUCAAAGGGAUGCAAGUUCUGCACUGGAAGUACCAGAACUUACACACUGCAUGGUACAGUCAGUAAAUUCAUCACUCCUCUUGCUACCAGCUGUUGCUGUUAGCUUUGGACAGCCUUAAAAGAUUUUUGUUUUGUACUAAAGGUCAUGUACAACACAGGAGAGGAAAUACAGUGUGGUUUGAACAGACAUCUAUUUUAAAACUUAGUUUACUCAUUAAGUUGAACUGAGAUAUUACUUCUUGUUCUGAAGAAAAAAUAAAACAGUGUCUGUAGGAAGAAAGUUGCAGAGCACGGUAAGAACCUUUUCAGAACCAGGAAAGGAAGUUUUGUCGUGGUCUGUACUCGUCAACUUCAUUUGCUGUGAGCAGGGUAACACAGAAUGAGAUUUAGUUUAACUACACCCAAAAUACACAGGAAUUGGUAUUUCUUUCGUAGGUCAGUCACUUGAUACAAAGAGAUGGAAAAGCUUAAAAAUCAAUGAAUUGAUGGGUACCAUAUAAAUUUGAAUUAUCUUUUUUCUGUAUAUAUUGCACAUAUUCCAUUCUGUGUAUGUUCCAGUUAGUGCAGCUUGCUUAGAAGGUUGUAAAGAAAUAAGCAAAGAGAAGAAAAAAAAAAAUCCUAUCUUCAGCGUAAUUUUGUAUAUAUGCUUCAUAACUUGGGGGUUUUGCAGGAAGAUGAAAAGUAACCUGUGCAUAAUAUUGUGUAAAUAGAUUUGUGUUCCAAAAAGCUAGUGUCUGCUUGCUGCUGCUCCUUGUAAAAGCCAUGGAGAGAACAACCCACAGUUUCCUGGUAGGAGAAGGUGUGGCCGCUUGCUGUGACUUUUGUGAGUGAGCAAGACUUUGUGAUAGAAGGUAAUAAAAAUAUGAUGACUAAACAGAGUGCUGAAGCUUAUCAGAUAAAGCACUACCACCACCUUACCCUGAGUUUAAUGGACUUCUAUGAACUUGCCAAUUAAGUGCUCCGUGCUUAUCCUAAUGCGCAGGCAUAGAGAACCCGUACAGAGGCAGGAAAUACUCUGAACAGAAAGGGAAAAUGAGUUAUUGGGACAGCUGUCCCACACCCUGCUCAGUAUGGCAGAGAAAGGAGGGUCUGGAAGGAACUGGCGAUAUCUCACACACAGCAAAGCAAACAGUGCAUUCCUUAGUCCCACUUCCACUUCCCACAGAGCCAUCUCUCUCAGUGUAGGGGGAUGGGGUUUGCACCUACAAACUCUGUGCUGUCUGGAGAAACUGAGGUCAGUUCCUAUGCUGAUGAGGCUGGUUACCAUGUUGUAUUGGCAGGGCAGGAGGAAGAUAUUCUACCUAAGAAUUAGCCUUAAUCUUUUCUCUCCCAUAACCUGUUUUGCUUCUUAUUGAGGCAUUUUGCCUUUGUCUUGGAAUUACGUCAUUACUUUACCAAAAAUAGCAGACUAGAAAUAUUCAUGGAAAUUGUCCCCUGACUAAGCACUGGGUAUCAUUUUCUGGAUUUAUGAAAGUGUGGGUAAACAUUUAGGAAGUCUGAAUACUUCUGAAUAAAUCAUGGUUUAAAGGGCAAAUAAGCCCUCAACAGGUACACUUCCAACAUUGUCUGACUACCUCAUUAGCAUUAAGGGACUCUGACCUUCACCAAAUCCCGGUUAUCUAACUUUCCUGGUUAUCACAACCAACCUUGCUCAGGUGCCAGAGGCAGUGUGGUCAUGGUAGCCCAUGCAGGAUUAAUUUUCCUGGUAGGAAAAGACAACUCAGUUUUCAAGCUGCAUCUGACAAGAGUGCUCAGAAGGCCUGGAUUUCUGUGAAGGACAAAGAGGUCUGGAUUCUCCUCCCUAUAAACACCACCCAUUCUGAGUCAUCUGAGCUGGAAGUACUGGCAUAAUUGCAAAACAUCUUCACACAGAUGGUAUGAUCCAGUGUAGCUUCCAGGAGGAUUCUUGAGUGAGGUAUUUGGCUGUUUAAUUAAAAUAUUAUGAGGACAGGUUUCUGUUGUUGGGUGUUUUUCACUAACAUGUUUUUCCUUUUUAGAAUCACAGGGUUAGACAGUAAGAACUUUUAUUUUUGUUGACUCAUUUCCAGAUAAGCAUAAGAACACAUUGUAAAGGUCACUUUGUGUCUUAAAUUCAACAAGAGUUCCGUUCCAUGUCGUGUCCCUAGCGUGUGUCCCAUCUGCCAUUCAAAACUUCUAAAACACAACUUCAAACAAAGUUAUCUUCUAGAGUUCACACACUGCAAAUCACCAUGGAUUUUGACCUCUGUAGAUGUGAUGGUGCUUUGUCACGAAGGCCCAGAUCCCUGCAGGCCAUGUACUUGUGUUGAUUUCACUGAAAGUUAGGGGCCACAAAGAAAAUGUGCCUUUACAUCUAUGGAUUCUUAUUUGAAACAGGUGAAUUUCUGACAACCUAAGUGGAAGCACUGAAAUGUGCAGAUGGGGUGUGUUGGACACGGGACUCAUGGCAAGCUUCUGGAUGCUCUGUCUGGACCCUGCUCUCCAUUGCCCUAAAUAUUUUGCACUUGUUUAGGGGUGUGCAGAGGAUGCAAAGUAUUAAUAAAUCUGAAUUCUCCACUUACGUCACCAGUAACAUUUUGAGGACGCUUUGCAGAGAUAUAAAUGGCAACCAAUGGCAUUUCAGAGUUUCAGGAACCUGAUUUCCAGAGAUUUUUGAGUUCUUUUUAUACCAGCUGAAGUGAAUGAAACCAUUUUCUGAAAAUUGGGUUCCAGAUAUUAAAGUCUGGCAGGCAAAGCUGGGUUAUCCAAAAUUAGAUGCCAAUUCUGAAAGGAUAAAUUGUACGUGGUGAUCUCAUGGGGGAAGUCUGAGACAGAGCCAAGACUAGAAUCUAAAUUUCUGAUGCCCAGUCCUGUGCAUUUACCACAACACUGAUUUUUUAAUACUUUGAGCUUGAAUACUGACUUGUUAAAAAAAUAAAUGCAGUUUUCAAAACACAUCCACAGCAUAUGCAAAAUAGUGUUUUGGUGUAAUUGGUUGAAUUCUGGUAGCUGAAGUAAAUUUGCACCUCAAAUUUUCAAAGAAAGGGGUUUCAAAUAAAUUCAUUCUUUGCUGCAGUGCAGUUGAACCUCAUAAGAAUGAAUGUUACUUUUAACAAAUUGAUUAAUGAUUUUUUUUUUUUACCAUUGUUUAUCUGUUUUCUGCACUUUCAGAUUCAGUUUUUACCAAAUAUUUUACAUGGCUAUAUAGGUGGUUGCUGAAAAAUACAGCAGGAGAUGAAAACAUCUGUUCUUUGGCUUCCUGGUCUAUGGGAUGCAGGAACAGGAAAGCCACUGUCCUGCUGUUCUGCAGGGGGUUUGAUGCUCUCCUCCCUGAGCUCUCCUGCUCAGGCUCCUGCAGUGCUUGGAGAGCUCUCUACAAUAUUUUGAAGACCAGGGAGGUUUGGUUGAAUAAGAGACACUUCUGAAUUAAGUGCAAUGUCUUUCAUUAAGUAGCUUUUCCAGAAGGUAUACAAAUUAUCAAUAUCUGAUAUUGCUGGGAGUUUGAACUGCACCUUCCACCUUUUUUUCAAAAGACUUGGUAUUUUUAAGGCCUUCUGUUUUUGACAAAGUCCAAAAACUUACUAAGAUUGAGAAUGAAAAUGGGGAAAUAAACAGGGAAAUAAACAGCACCACUACCAUAAAGUAAGGAAAACCUCUCUUCUCUUGAUACACUGAAAAAUAUCACAAACUUUCAAUUAGCAAUUUUGCAGAGAUUAUUUGCCCCGAAUUUCAAAUUGAAUAAGACAAACAAGAAGUAAAGGAAAGGAAAUACAAGUGUGUGUUUGUUUUUAAAUUGCAGGUGGACACUGGAUGUAGUCAAAACUUUUGUGUGAGAAUUUUUAUGCUUCCUGACAAGGGAGAUAUUGAUAUCUCAGACUAGAUAGUAAUAGAGGAAUGUGCAUUUACUUGGAUUCCAGUAGCCAGGCUGAUGAAGAGAAAGUCUCAGAUGUGAAUAAAAGACUGUGAUGUUGCUGCCUAAUUUAUUAAAAGCAAAGAACUGUCAGACAUCUGAAGUGUGCAAAGCAUAAGACUGGCUCUAAUUUCUCAGUUUUGGCAGUUUUGAUGCCACUUGUACUUUAAGUUAAUAUUAAUCGUUGGGGGGAAAAAAAUGCACCCUUUCUCCCUUUAAUCUUUCUCCCUUUAAUCAACAGUUUAUAAAUGCAGUAGCACAUUUCAGAUGCCAGUAAUGUAUUUUUAUCUGGCAAUUGAUUAAUGUGCAUAACAAGAUGGAUGAGCCUGUCUGCUGAGACACAGAACAGUGAGACACAGCACAGUGCUGCUUGAGAAAGAAAUAAUCUUUUUAUUAUUAUUAUGUUCAUUAUGUCUAAUAGCUUUGGAUAUCCAUGGAAAUCAAUAGCUGCUCGUAACAUGGAUACAACAUAUUUCAUCGUUGUUUUACUUUCUGUUACUUACGUAAAUAUUUUUUUUCUGAUUAUUUUCGAGGAAACAUCGUUUCUAUGUAGAAUUAGCUUUACAAGCAAAGCCAGUGUUAGGAGAAACACCAUGAUCAGGUUACUAAUCAGCCCGUGAGUGAGUGGGGAUUUAAAACAGGAGGUGGCAGUCUUGAGUAGCAACUCACUGCUGUUUAGGCUCAGCUCCAAAUGGAGUCAGAGCUGGGCACAAAUAACUCAGGAUCUCAACCCUUUUUCUUAAACAUCACAACAACAAGCAGCUUGGAUAUUGAAGAUGGCAACAACUAGAUUUGUCCUUUGUGCCUGACAAUGAAAAAUGGAGUUAAGUUAUGUAAUAAUUUUAAUGUGUUUUUUCUUAGAUUUUUUUAAUAAUUGGAUCAAUAUUUGUAGAAGGACAGACUAUAGCAAAUUGCAGAGGCAGAAUUUAGUUGUUCUCAUUCUCAUCUGGGUUUGCUUCUUCUAACUAGGAAAGUCAUGUUGCAAACAAGAAUAAGUCCUGAUGAAAUAUGGAAUUGUUUUGUUCAAAUAGGAGGUGUGCCUAAUUCCAGUCUCCUUUUUGGUAUCCUGGAAGGUUGGGUGAUCCUUCAUCCCCUAACUGUGAUCUACAGGCAAAUCAUGAGGUACUUCCAUCUCCCUCGUGAACUACCAUGAAGUAAUGGCAAGAUAACCUACUUUUAUUAAUAAUAUCACCGAUUGCAAUUUUCUAAUCAACAAAAUCAGCACAAAACUUUGCAACUACACAGUCUCAGCAGAGAGGGGAACUUGAUGACAUCAUUGUUUUUCCCCUGUGAAAAUGCUUAGUUGGAAGAAGACAAAAAAAGAUUAAAUGAAUCAGAGUAGCUCCAUGCAACCUCCCACUUCUUAUCUUUUUGAAGAAUGUGAACCAUUCAGUGGUAAAAAAUGUAACCAAGAGAGUUCUGCAGCGUUGUUCAUUUCUGCUGGGUAUUCAUAGUAGGAAUUUUACUUGCAAAUGUUAUUGUAAAUUUUGUAUAUCUAUUGAUUGGUUUUGCCUAUAGCUCCACAUUUUAAAAAUAUGUAUUUUGGGCCAAAUCUCAAUUUACAUUUUUUUUCAUUCAGAUGCACGUGAAAAGUCUUCCUUUAAAAGUUUGCUAAGCAACAAAUCCUUCAAAUAGAACAAGUUGCAACUCUGCUCUGCCUGAAAUGGAUACAUGCAUGCAAAGUCUCAGUCCAUAACAGAACUAAUUUUCUGAGCUUGUUUUUUGUCACAGUCUGUAGGCAAAAAAUAGAAUUUUCUUCUUUUUUUCCCCCUGUGGUUUGAAUGCUCCAGUUAACCUGUGCAUGCACAAAUCUGUCUGCUCCACACAGACACAACAAUCUACCUGAAUGGAUCUGAGUGUGAGAUCAGGUUUUCUGUAACAGUCCCAUCCCAUCAGACACAGCAGACAUUGUCAGGGAACCUUCUGUUUAAUCUUGUUAUUAAGCAAACAUUUCCCUAAGUUUGCAUAAGCAGUCGCCCAGCCAUGGCUUCCACAUAGUCCUUUAAUAACUAGCAGGGUGUGGUAAUUAAAUUUCUUCAUCCUUCUCUUCUGACUACCAAAGAGAAAUUUAUUCUUUGGUCAACUUCUUACUUGCUUUGUUUCUUCACUUCCUUUGUUCUGUGCAGAUCAGGGAGUUCAUAGAUGUCUUUUUAGUGCAAAAAGUGUCUGGGGGAUGAUUCUUGGAGCCCAAUCCCCUAAAGAAACAAGGCCUGUGUGAUCAUACUCAGCCUAUUCCAACAUUCAGCACCAAUAACAUGGGACCUCAUUGGCCAUUUCACUUCAUGUGGAAGAGAGACAGAGGACCCCAGUCUUCCAGCUUCCUAACAAUUUUAUGAAAAUGGAUGGCUGGGGGGAGGAAAGAAAGCCUACUACUACCUUCUACUAUCAAGGCAUUUGUUAAUUUAGAAGAUGUAUGCUAAGAUUCAAAUAUCAAAAUAUAAAAAAAUUUAGAUUUAUUCGAAGUCAAGAUGAGCAACUCACUUUUUGCAUGUGUGUGUUUUUUAAGUAAGGCCACUGAAACUGUGAAAGAAUGUGCAAAACUUGCUUCAUAGACAUGAUCAGUAAUGUUCAUUGAACAUUAGAUUGAAGGCUGAGACUUAACAGUUGUCCUGUGCAUUAGUUCAAUUUUCACUCCUUCUCAGCAUUUAUGGGAUUGGAGAAUGUGCCAAAAAGUAUUUUGCUCUAUGAAGAAGUACAAUAAACUUGGGCCUUACAAUGUCUAUGUUGCUGGAAAAAUAUGGUUUUCUAUUUUUUAAGCAUAUGUUUUUGGAGUCUUAUAGACUCUGUUCCUGAUUGUUGAUUUUCUUAGGAUAGGAGUAGCUGCAGCCUUGUCUAGUUUAGGGCAUGGACAGAUGUUUUGUUUCAGAUCCAGAUGUGCAGAGGAAGGAGGUGUUCCUUCCACAGCCACAUGGGUCCUUCUAGCUGCUACAAACUGACCUGUCACCGGGAUGUUUUUAUAAGUGCUCCCUAAUUCAUAUUAACCACAAUUAGGUAUGUUAUUUUAAGCAGUUUAAAAUCCUGAUCUGAGAUAUGGCAGCUGACUUUGCCUCACCUGAGUUAGCAGUACUCCCAUAAACUCUUCUGUUAGCACAUCUGAAGAGUGGUGAGGAACUUCUGCAGUAGUUAAUCCUGUCCGCUGGCUCUGCUAAGCAUACAAGAAAUCACCUCCACAUAGCCUGGAGGCCUCCUGACAAUUCACAAUCAUGUGGCAUCAUGGGCAAGGCCUCUGCCUGCACAAAAGGUAAAUGAAUACCAGCUGGGGAUUUGAAUAUCUAAGCUUAGCAAAUAGAAAGAAAAAGACUGACUCAUGUGCUUUUACAAACUAAUGCCAGCGAGCAGAAUCCCAUUUUAAAUAAGACCACAAGAGAAAAUGGUUUCUUGUGCUGGGAAAAAUUGUACAGAGACGGAAACGGUAUUUGAAGAACUGUGUAGUGGUUUGGGGCACUAAGAAGAUCUAUUAUGAGUGUGGAAAAAAGUCCUCAUCAAGUAUACACUGGAGUUUUUAAGAAGAAAAUGUACUGGGAAUACAGCUUGGACUGUGAAUGGCAUGAGAAGAUAUUUAGGGAACCCUAGCCCUGUGUGUGGUAGGAAAGCCUAAGAGAAAUGAGCAAGAAAUCCACGAGCAAUGGAAUCAGUGAAGCCUGGUUUCCAAUGGAUUUGUGCCUCAUGCAAGUUUUUCCCCUGGCCUGUAUGGUCUUUGUCCUAUAUAUAUUGUCAGAUGCCUGGUAAGAAUGGGGCUUUCCCUAUAUCCUUUCUGAUGGCUGGAGGCACCAUCUGGAUCUCCUCUUCUUCCCAGCUGGCUGACUGCUUCCACUAAAUCUGGGACAAUUUUGUUUCUUGAAACCUGUGAUUCACUUCCAAAUUCAUUUGAAAAUCAGAUACUGGAUUCAAAAGUUACUGGAAGAGGAAGUGAAGACAGCGGAAUAGGCACUCAUACACUAAAUAUGAUGACAAAGGCCUUUCUUCCUUAGGAAAUCAGAACAGUUGGAGAAGGCACUUCCUUCAGAUUUGGUGAUUCCAGCACUGGCAAGAUCGCCUCAGACUGGGGCACAGAAAGGGUAAAUGGGAGCAGCACUAAAGCCUGUUUUCAUGUUGCAGACCUGUUCCAUAGAGAGCUGAGGUAUAGAUUCACAACACUGUACUCCUGUUGUGGGUUUGUUGGCAUUUAUUUGAAACUUGGUUAUUUAUUAGGUGAAAAUAUACAUAGUUAGCAUUUCAAGUCUUGGUCUAAAUCUGUAUGUAGAUGACUUUUUUUAAACUGUUUCUUACACCAGUGUUACUGAUAUGGUUAAUUUUGCUUAACCUCUUAGUCAUUCCAAAAUUAUGUGUAUUUUUCUAGAAGGCAGCUACAGUGGGGAUGAAUGAGAAAACAAAAUCCAGUAACAGAUGCACAAAGCAACCUACCUGAACGUGUAGGUCAAGUUUAAUAGGUACAUUUUGUGAACCAGAGCAAUUUUCUGUAGUUGGUAUCAACAUCUUCAUCUUUGAUCUUCACCUCAGUUGGUCAGAACUCCAUUGUUUUGCUAAUGCUUUGGUUGACUUGAAAAAUAAUCCUCCUUUGACUAUUUGAGAACCUGUAGCUGAAAUAUCUGGUAGUGGCCUAGGAAAAAAAAACACACAUAAAUGAAAAAUAAAAGAGGAAACUAUCAGACGAACUGUUCGGAAUAAACAGCUGUGCACUUGUCCCCUCUGUCUCUGAAAACUUCAUUUAGCUCCAGGCAUAGGUUUAAAUAAACUACCUCAUGUUUACUAGCACCAGCUAAAAAUGUAUUCUGUAGAGAGAUUAUACACAGUGUAUACCUCGUGUCAGUCUUUGUAAGAAAGAAAGGUAGGUUUCAUGUAGAUUAUAUCAUUGCAUGUAAAAAAAAUAUACAUUUUGACUGCACAAAACAAAGUGCUUUAUCUAAGUGCUUAUCCAAGUGCAAACGUUUUUCCCCCAAAUACAAAAUAACUGUUGAGAUAGCUAGGGUGGAAGAAUCUGUAUAGAGAGGUGUGAUAAAAAGACUUCUUUGCCUCAGUGGAAGAAUGUACCAUUCAGUAGGGCUUGUAACAGAAUAAUAUUUCAGUUAAACAAACUGUAACUUGUGCUUCUAGAAAGUAAUAAAGCUUCUACAAGAACUGUAUGUAGACUAGAUCCUAGGAAAUGUUGUCUAACAGCACAGCUCUUAUCCCGGGAUAAGUUCCUUUUAAAUCUGAGGAAGUUAACUCCUAUUCCCCAUUUUUAUUUUAUUUCUUAUAUUACUCUAUGAUAUAGCAGGCUUCCUUAUUUAAUUCCUGCCUUCCAAGCCUUAUUUUUCCAAUUUUAACAAGCAACGAGCUUGCAGGGCAUGAGCCUUCUUUCAAGAGGCGCAGUUUAUAAUACCGAACAAUCCCGAGUUAGUGAGAUUAGGAUUCCCCUCUGUAAGGAAUUCAGGGUGGUGUCAAACCUGCCAAAUGACUUUCACAACACUCUGACCCAGGUGGUGUGACCUGGGUAUUUGAAUGACUCCUGCCUGAGCAGUGCUGGUGGUGGUGUAAACUAGCACAGGUAACCUGACUGUCCAGAUCUGUGCUUGCAUAAGUUUAGCCAACACCUGAAUCAACUGCAGGGCCAAGAAAAGCUGUAGUGGUGGAGUUUCAGGCUACUCAGAACGUUUUCCUGCACUGAACAUUGUAUUUGCCAGCAGGUUAGAACUGAGCCUUGUGAGCCAUCUGUGAGUUGCUGGGUAUGUAUGGAAAACAAGAGCUGUCUUCCAAUCCAGUGCUUCCUUUAGAUAUCAUGAAGGUUAAGUGCCUUCUUUCUGUUAAUAUCAACAAUUUAUGUACUAACUACUAAGUGAAUCUAAAUGAAUAGUUUGGGGUGAUCUUUGUACUUAGCCCAGUAUGCAAGUAAGAUGGUUCUCUUGAUUCUGGGAGAGGAAGAGGUCUGUUUGUGCAACCUUGGCGGCAGACAUGGGUAUGUGUUCCUGGCUGCAGAAGGGGCAAAUGUUUAAGAAAGCUGGAGACUGGGAGACUGCUUGUGAGAAGUAUUACUACAUGUUCAUUCUAGCCUGAAUAGUCUUCCUUUGACACUAUGUAUUGGAAGUGUCUGUAUCAUGGAAAACAAGAUUUAACCACAAAGGUUGUGUAGAGUGUGACCCUGGUGCCCCAGAGCACAGAUCAUACCCAUAGCAGCCAUGAUCUUCCUCUUAACAUACUCAGUGUAAGUCAGAGCAUCUUGGGUCACAUUUUCCAGUACCACUUUCAGUGUUCCUUGGGUAGUAUUUUUAAUAUUAUCAGCUGAAAAAUAACUGUUGCUCAAGAAUAUUUCACCAAUUUCAUUGGCAAAUAUCUAAGAAAAUCUUAAAGGUGAAGCUCAUGAUCAGGACAGUCUUUCAUUUAACUUCUUUUUCCUUUCCUCCCACCUACAUUUUUUCACCCUUGAAGAUGGCAAAGCCUUGUAUAUGGAGAUUUUUACUCACUGAUCUCAUGCCCUGAAUUAUGACCUCUUCAUUCCAGACCAGUUUUUCUGGUAGUCAUUUAUCUACCUCUGCUAGAUAUGGGGAUAGUAAAGUUAACAAAAAGCAUGUAGUUUAACUUCUAGAACCCAGGGUAAAAAUGUAGUGUCAAAGCAUGGAAAGUCUGGGUUUUCCUAAUGAAAAUGAAUAAACUGCAUUAUCAAGACAGUAAAGAGGGAGUCCCACGAUGGUAUUGUACACAGCUUUGCUUUUUUUAUUACACAACUUCACUUUCUUAUUGAAGAGAAGUAAUUGAUAAAGUAAAAUGAAUCACACCCUAAAAUUCCAGUCACUUCUCUCAGCAAAUAAGGAGAAACAGGCAAUUCAGAAGAAAAUUCAUUCCCUCAAUCUUUGAUACCCAUUUCAGGAUGGAGGGAAGAACUCAUCCCUCAGGAGGAGGACGGGAUGCUGUCUUGUAUGUGCAGCUAUCAUUGCUUAGCUUUCAAAUUAAUACCAUUAUAACAACGUUCUCCAACCUGUUUUUGUGACUGGAAACAAAUGAAAAUGCAGUCAAUAUUUGCAAAUGCAAAGUUCUGCAGCAAUGUAAGUAAUUCUGCUGUAUUCCACCCUGCUCCACAGAGCAGCAGAGAAGGUUUUUUAAUUUACCCACUAAGAACAAAGUGCUGACUUGGCUCUGUGCUUCUUGGAAACGGUCUUUGCUCUGCUAUUUCCUGUUAUUUUCUCAAGGUUUGUGUUUCAGAUGCGAACGGGGACCUGCUCAAAAUCUCUUUACGUUUGUAGCGGUGUGACAAGAUUCCUUGGACAGAUGGGUGUGGCUUGCAGGUAAACAGGGCAUGAAGAGGGAAAGCACGGCAGAAAGUUUUCCCGUUUCAGUUCUGAGGCUUUGCUGCUUCACCGCCAGCACACCCUGGUGAGCAGCCGCGUCCAGCUCUGACCUUGCUUGACACGUUCAGCAGAGGCUGCUAAAUCUCGUUUCCUCAGACUUCCAGCGCUUCGCAUGAUUGUUCCUCCUUCCAGUCCGAGACACGGCCCCUCGGUGAGCCGGUUCGUGCUCGCUGUUGUCGCGUUGGCAGCGGCGCUCGGCAGCUCCUGUCACCCAGCUCUGCUGCAGUGUGACAUCGGGAGCUGUCUGCGGGCCAGGCAGCGCUGCAGGACAAGCAGGAACUUCUGAACGCUCCUGGCUGCAUUGACAGAUGAUUAAAUUUAAAGACGAUGCAUUGCCACUGCGUUUGUUUGAAUGAUUGUGGUGCUUUGGUGUCUGCUAGUGUUGGUUGACAGGGUAAUUUAUAGAGUUUUGUUUGUGUGUCUUGUGAGAAGUGAAUAUAUCGCUGCAGUGACACCUCACCUAUGUUGGUGGCCUUAUUUUUGGAUGCCAAGUUGAAUAAAGUGCUGUCAGAAUCUGCAGAUGACCUGGCAGAAACUUAAUGAUUGUCCUUAAAACCAUUUGUACUUUCUGUUUUGUGACCUUGGCAGAUCAGCGAUUGGGAAAUUUUUUCACAUGCUGUCUGCACCUGCCAGCUUUGCCAUGCAGCAAUAGGUCAUUUCCUUUCCAAACAUGACUGGCUUCUGGUAUCAGUGGGAAAUUGGCAGCUCUUAUAUGAAAGCAGUAUGAUUCCAGUUUCCUCUUUUGGUGAGAUAGGAAAGGAUUCCUUAUUGUUAUGGGCCCAGAGCCCUAUCAGAGCUCUCUUCCCCACUUAACUGCUUUUUCAGUCACUCAAAACCAGUUUGUCAAUACUAUACAGCAUCAUCUAUUGUACUGCCUAUGAGAUUGCCCCAAGUCCAUUUUUUUCCCAGUAUCAUGGGCUUAAUUCUAAACAGAACUGCAAAACCUAAAGUGAAAAUAUUUCUAUCUUCUUCUGUCUGUUGGUCUUUCUUCCUCAUUUCUGUGAAAGAACAAGAGAGGGCAGAAUAAAGUGUCUACCUGGUGGUAGGGCUUAAGAAACGACACGGAAUUGAAGUGUACUUUUCUCCCUAUUUCUUUGUCAUAUCAAAAAGUUGAUGUGAAGUGGCACUCAUGGUGCUUUCAGUUCUCAAGAAAAGACAGAAAGCUGUUGCAAUGACUUCUUUGUAAGGGGUCUUUAAAUCAGCAGACAGGGAAUCAGUAGUGUUGGGCAAUUGCCUCACAUCCAGCCUGAAGUAUCACCUUUGCAAAGAUCUACAAAGGAGUUAGGUUGCUGACAGUGAGGUGGGGAAUUUUGUUUCCACUCUUAACAGCGCAAAGCAGCUGCAUUGGCUUUACAGGUGAUUAAAAGGAUUGCUCUCUCUGAAAGUCAGGGUAAAUUGUUAGUACACCCAAUGUGUGUCUUUUUCUUCCUGCACUUACCGGAGAUGAAAAUAAAAUCGUGGUUUUGUCUGUGCUUUCGUGUGGCAUUAUUAAUGAAACAGGUAAUCCCAUUUGUCUUAAAAUCAAGGCAAUGAUCUCUUGUGUUCUGUCCAUCUGUUCCAGACACCAACAGCAUGUUCAUCACCAUGGUAUUGGAACAGUCUGGUACACAAAUAGCAAUCAGCAGUUAUUAACAUAAUAUUAUUACUUGGUCCAUAAAGCUUAAUAUUAGCUGAGAUACCAGACAUCACACAUUGUGAGACAGUUUCUCAGAUGAUGUACUUUGUUCUGCCAGAAUAUGAUAAUAUUCUGUAUUAAAAUCAGUAAAAGGAUGCUUUUUUUGUUUGUUUGUGUCAUGCAACAAAAAUUGCCAGCACAAUAUACAUAUAUAAAAAUUUUCUCUUUACAUCCAGUAAUUUACAAUCCAUCACUAUCUAUUUGUAGAACAGCAUUCUUUAGAAAACAAAAGGGCUUUUUUUAUUAUUUUUUACAUGCAUUAGAUCAAAUCAAACCACUGAAAGUUCCCCUUUCCUUCCUUUCUCCCCCAGCUGCUGAUGUAGACUGAUACAGGAGUGGGUCUUUACAUGCAGAAGACCAUUUAUCUCAAACUUGACCUAGACAAGUUUAAGUCUGUUCAGCAUGUGACCUCCUUCUGCGGUGCUGAAGGGGUGGCAUGUGAUUGCAGCCCACAAGGAAGUCCCUCAGAACAUCCUGAACACCCACAAAAUUUGGAUGUUUCGUACUUGUCCUAAUUCCCCUUCAUACAUCUCAUUUAUACAUGUACAGAAGUCCAACUUCAAAUAUCUCCUUUUUGUUUGGUCACUUUUUGCUAUUAUAUAACUUAAAGAUUUAUUUUUUUUUCGGAGUUGAAUAGCCAUACUUUUAAAAUCACUGGUAUUUAAAUUGCUGGUUAAAAUGAGUAGGUUCCUCCUGAGUGGCAUAUUUGUGCCUAUCAGGUUAAAUGAGUAGCCCUUCUAUAUCUCAUUUUUCUUCCCUUCUUAAUCAGAAUAUAUUCCUGGGAGACCUAUUUUGUAAGCCUGUCUACAGAGACUUCUAUAUAGCAGCAAGAUGGAGCCUUUUCAUCUUGAAGCUUCACAGUUACCAUGUAGCAACUAUGAAACAAAAGUGAAACCAAGGCAUUACGGGCCCCAGUUUUUAUACACGGCUUUUGCUUGCUUUAGAAGGCAAAUUGCUGCUAAAUUAACAUUUCUGUAAGCAUUAUGGUGCCCACACAAGUGCUGCUCUAAUGAAAGGGGACGUCUUUAUCUGAGCUGGUUGUGGUGAUGUUGGGAGGGACGAGCAGAUUGUGUCAGCCAUCAUUAUUCUUUUAGUGAACGUGAAACUUAACUGAUACUGGCAAUACUGGUUCUGUCUCCUUUUUUAUAUCAAUAGCUUUUUUUUUAAAAAAAGAAAGCUUAACUACAAUAAUUACCUACUAUUAAUAAUCAACUAUUAACUAUUACAAUAAACUGAUUAAAAAUGCAAAUAGAUUGUUAAGAACGUUGUUGUCAAGUGGGCUGUAUAUGUGUGGGCGGGUCAUCCAUUGGGAUGGAAAGGCCAACAGGAUGCUAGUUGUAAAAACAGAGGAUCAUCCCCUACAGGUCAGCUCUGCCUUGAACGCUUUUUGUGUUUAAAACUAAUAAAAUGAAUAAAAUUAAUAAAAAUGAGCUUUUGGCUCAGCUGUGGGAAGGAGUCCAAAGUCCUGGGUGACUUUCAUACAUGUCUAGAUACAAUGAAGGGCAAAGUGCAGCAUUUUUAUCCUGUCAUUCCCCGUUGUCACUCUCAGUUAUUAAGCAAGUGGUGGGUAUUAAGAUAAAGCUUGCCUGAAACAUUUAAUAGACAUUAUCUAUUAGACUGCAUGUGCCCCGUUUUAUUUCUUUCAGGGUCUGUCCCUCACUGGAUGCCAGACUGUCCUUCGGGAUAUAGCCCAGUGAGCAGGAGAAAAGUGUUUGAAUUUGGUAAAAUGGCCAUAAACAUAAAGAAAGAAACUGGAGCUGCUUCAUCAGUGCCAUAUCAUACUGUGGUUGGCCACAUGAAGAGGAUCAUAUUGAUGAAUUAGUGCAGCGACCCUCCCAGACAUGGAAGGAUACCUCUUACAAGAAAAUCCAUAGGUGACUAAUAGGUGGUAAAUAGUCUUUGAGAUCUGGGAGAAACAUUUUGGUGUAUCUGGAAAUCAAUCUAGAUCUGCCACUGUGGAUAUUUAGUCUUAAUUCAUGCUUUUCUACCACAUUUCAGAAUGUGUCCUGAGUCUGAA